This 169-nucleotide ribosomal RNA is filed under the name uncultured bacterium. Its description in RNAcentral is "partial 16S ribosomal RNA". It matches the Rfam family "Bacterial small subunit ribosomal RNA", at positions 338 to 524 of the family's 1533-position model. The record is from RNAcentral.
CCUACGGGAGGCAGCAGUGGGGAAUAUUGCACAAUGGACGAAAGUCUGAUGCAGCAACGCCGCGUGGAGGAUGACACUUUUCGGAGCGUAAACUCCUUUUAUAUAGGAAGAUAAUGACGGUACUAUAUGAAUAAGCACCGGCUAACUCCGUGCCAGCAGCCGCGGUAAU